GAUGAAGAACGUAGCGAAAUGCGAUACGUAAUGUGAAUUGCAGAAUUCAGUGAAUCAUCGAGUCUUUGAACGCACAUUGCGCCCCCUGGUAUUCCGGGGGGCAUGCCUGUCCGAGCGUCAUUGCUGCCCUCAAGCACGGCUUGUGUGUUGGGCCUCCGUCCUCCUCCCGGGGGACGGGCCCGAAAGGCAGCGGCGGCACCGCGUCCGGUCCUCGAGCGUAUGGGGCUUCGUCACCCGCUCUUGUAGGCCCGGCCGGCGCUUGCCGACACAUCAAUCUUUUUUCCAGUUUGACCUCGGAUCAGGUAGGGAUACCCGCUGAACUUAAGCAUAUCAAUAAGCGGAGGA
RNAcentral lists this unclassified non-coding RNA (345 nucleotides) under soil metagenome. Its description in RNAcentral is "partial contains 5.8S ribosomal RNA, internal transcribed spacer 2, and large subunit ribosomal RNA". The stretch from base 1 to 120 matches the Rfam family "5.8S ribosomal RNA", at positions 35 to 154 of the family's 154-position model. The record is from RNAcentral.